RNAcentral lists this transfer-messenger RNA (362 nucleotides) under Mesorhizobium sp. It matches the Rfam family "Alphaproteobacteria transfer-messenger RNA". Rfam says of the family: Bacterial tmRNA, also known as 10Sa RNA or SsrA, is named for its dual tRNA and mRNA-like properties. The record is from RNAcentral. Lineage: Bacteria; Pseudomonadati; Pseudomonadota; Alphaproteobacteria; Hyphomicrobiales; Phyllobacteriaceae.
GGCCUUUCAUUUUCCAUGAUCGGUCCCUAUAUUCGCUUCGUCGGCUUGACCGACUAUGGCGAUAAACAGGCGAUGAAAUAAGCCGUUCGGACCCGGGGGCGGUACCCGGCGCCUCCACCAAAAACCGCUCUCCCAAAUGGGAGCGGCUUUUGCUGGGGGCGAAAUAGGAUCGACGAAGGUGUAAAGAUCGUACUUUUGCCCGGCAUUGUACCACCGUCAUCGGGCUAAACUUAUAGUUGCCAACGACAACUAUGCGGAAGCUCGUCUCGCUGCUUAAUGCAGUGCGAACGCUUCAAAUCAAGCCCUAGGGGUUCGCACUUCUAGGCGGGGUUCGGAGGUACCUGGCAACAGAAACCUCCACC